Long non-coding RNA from Cucurbita maxima (winter squash), 2992 nucleotides. RefSeq lists it as uncharacterized. The record is from RefSeq and is a predicted model, not a curated record. NCBI's taxonomy places the organism in Eukaryota, Viridiplantae, Streptophyta, Magnoliopsida, Cucurbitales, Cucurbitaceae. The transcript is spliced from 4 exons.
UUACCUCGACUCGGCUGCGAAGCCGAGGCUCUGGUGCUAUCAAAUCACAGUUCUAUCUGACCCCUUCAAAAGCCAUAUUUAUGUUUUUUUUGUUUCUCUCUUCCAUCAUUUCUUGGGGCUUCCUUUAGUUUCCCUUCCUCCAUUAAUUUAGCCGUGGCAGUCUGGAGAGACGAGAUCAAACACCUCAAUUUCCCCCAUUUUUGUCAAACAUACCCCAUGUUAAUCUCUUGCUGUCCCCUAUGUCAUCGUUAAUCACCCUUUACUCCCCCCUUCACUGCCUUCUGACAUUUACUAAGGGAUUUUGGUGAACCUCAUUUCGUCUAUUCCAUGGAUGAUUUAGUUUACGCGAUUAGAUCUGAGGGCUUCUCUUAUUUAUGGAGUUGAUCUCAACUAUUUCACCCCGAGUCUUUGUGGGUGUGCGUUAACUUCAUUUUUUUUCUCCCUUGCAUGUCCAGAUUUCAUAGUACUAAGCACUCUGGUUAUUUUAAUGUUUUUUGUUUUUGUUGGGGUUUGCCUAAAAUGGGUGAGUUUCAGUUGUCAAUGUGUCGAUCAUUCAUGUUUUGGAUUUUCUUUUGUUUUUAUUAACUGGGUCCUGGCUUAAUGGCAAGUCCUACCUAGAUUUUCUUAUAUUUGUAUGUUUUAUGCUGUUGAUUAGGAUCUGGUAAAUCUGUUUGGAGGUAUUACGAAUUAUGUGUGAGGUGAGUGAUGCUUAGGAUGCUGAAUCUGAUCCCUCUAAACUUGAUUUUGUUUCUAGUCAUUUGUUUAAUAUAUAUGUUCAUCAUCAUUUUUCAUCUGCAGUAUAUGCAUUUGAAGCGUAUCUGUUUAUUGUUCUUUAUAAAGUAUCCAGUCAUAACUCAUUUGGAUUAAAUAGCCACGGUUUUAUUAUUUAUUAUUAUUUGUUUUUCUAAUUUCAGAUAGCAUUUUUGUUUUUUUUUUUUUUUGGUUGAGUUGCAUUGUAUUGAAUGAGAAGUUUGUUAGAUGUAUUACUGUUUUUGUACUAAGUUUUUUAAGUUCGCUUGUUUUUCAACGUUUUAAUCUUCUACAUGCAAAUAGGAUUGUUUUCUUUUAAAUGAUCUAAUUUCUAAAUGACUCUCAUAUGUAACAACUGUGAUCUGAAAUUUUUGUUUUGCCUAUUUUAGUAUCUUGAUUAUUGAUCUCUAUGUUCGCAUUUUUCCCCUUUUCAUCAGAAAAUUGCACCUGCCCAAUGAUGGAGAAACUCAUUUCUGGAGUUGUUAAGUUGAUUCUUAUCACAAGCCUUUGCCCUCAACCACAACUCUCUUUCUCUCUCUCUCUCUCUCUCUCUCUCUCUCUCUCUUUCUUCAAACACAAACCCAUCCAAUCUAUCUGUCUUUUCCCAAUAUUUUGCCUUCUCUUUUGGUAAAUUAUUAUAGUGGCUGUGCUGUGUAGAGGUAGUGAUGAAAAUCAAUUUUGACUGAGGGCAUUUACACAUACUCUUUGAUCUUAAAGGUUCACUGAAUUGGUUUACUAAUUUUCUUUCCCAGUUUGCACGAUUUAACUUUAAAGUGACGAUUUUGUUUCAAGAAUGAUAUUAAAUAUUGAAACAUCUAAUUUUGAAGUGCAAGGAACUUGUGCAUAAAGUUAUUUUUUGUUCUCCAAAUCUUAUUUCGAGAAUUUUUUUUUUAAUUUAAUCAAUUUUGGCUAACCAUCAUGUGUUGACUUAGUGGGCAUAAAGGCCUGGGAGAAAUAAGAGAAAUGGUGGUCACCUAUCUCAGAUUUAGUAUCUUACGCGUUUCUUAUCAACCAAUGUAACAGAGUUGGGUGGUGUUUUGGUGAAAUUAGUCGAGAUGCAUUUGAGUUGGCUUGGACACUCGUUGAUAUAAUUUUUUUUUUAAUCCAUUCUGGUUUAUAUGCAUUUAAAUAUUUUGUUUUGGCUUAGAGCAUUAUAAUAAUUUUUUUUUUUUGAAAUCAGCUGUUAAAUAUUUUUAUAUAGACAUAUAAGUGUUUGACCACCAUUUUUCCAAUUCCAAUACCAGAUUUUUAUAUAUAGGGUUGUCCAUUCUUUUGAAUGCUUGUAGCUUCAUUUAGUUGGUUUUUCUUAGGUCGUUGCAGCAAGGUGGGAGUGUCACAUAGGCUGGUUCUAUAUGGCCAAUUUAAAGAGGCUGAUAUUCAAUAUAGAGCUUUUGGGUUCUAAAGUUAUGGUAGCACCUCGAACCGUUCACGCCUGACAUAAAUUUAAUGAUAAGGACCUAAAAGCAUUCUUUCCCCAAGUACAUGGAUCGAAACAGCGAUGUGCUGAUUGUAUGGUAUUUGGACUUUUUUGUAUGAUGAAAUUGACUUUGCUUUAAAAGUUGCAUCUGCCCGAUGAUGGAAUUCACUGAUUAGAGCAGAUACCAAUGAUCUUCAUUAUAAGCCUUUGCCAUUAACCAACUCACACAUAAUCUGUCUACGUAGUGUUUGCUUGGUGCUCUCUGUGAUGGUAAUUGCAUCUGCCUAAAUGGGAAUGUUUGAGUUGUAUAGUUGUAUAGUGCCCAUUUGAUAACCGAGGUACGACUCAAUGUCCUAAUUCUGCACAUUAUUCCCUUACGAGCCCUUGCACGCUUCUUCUUGUUGUCUUUUCUCAAGCCUUAGAUGCUCGAUUGUGGCCAUGAGUUCUUCGGUAUCUUAAAGUGUAAAGCUUCAUUGUUUCUUGCAUCUGCCCAAAUGGAAUGCGUUAAUUGUAUAGCGCCCAUUUGAUAACUGAGGAAACCAAGACAACACUCCAACCUCUGUGAAAAGAAAACUUAUUCAGAACUUUUCUCAUUUUUAGAGAAUCGAAGAUUGGCUUUCAGACUAGAAGGAAGAUGUUAAGUUCAUAGAUUUUCUUGGGUCUGAACAGCCGAAACAUGAUGUCUGAGUUCAUAGAUUUGAUUUGAUUCAAGAACAAUUGUUCUUCUUGUUAAUUGUUAAUUAGGGGUGUACCUGGGUUGGGUUGAACUCGGCGUGGGUGUCCGUAGAGAGGUGUACCACUCUAGCAAACUUAUUAAUACGAAAA